Molecule: non-coding RNA, 148 nt
Organism: Homo sapiens (human)
Lineage: Eukaryota; Metazoa; Chordata; Mammalia; Primates; Hominidae
Rfam family: Metazoan signal recognition particle RNA
About the family: The signal recognition particle (SRP) is a universally conserved ribonucleoprotein. It is involved in the co-translational targeting of proteins to membranes. The eukaryotic SRP consists of a 300-nucleotide 7S RNA and six proteins: SRPs 72, 68, 54, 19, 14, and 9.
Source: Rfam
GCUGGGCGUGGUGGCGCACGCCUGUAGUCCCAGCUACUCGGGAGGCUGAGGCAGGAGAAUCACUUGAACCUGGGAGACAGAGGUUGCAGUGAGCUGAGAUCGCGUCACUGCACCCCAGCCUGGGUGACAGAGUGAGACUCUGCCCCCG